This 244-nucleotide ribosomal RNA is filed under the name uncultured Staphylococcus sp. Its description in RNAcentral is "partial 16S ribosomal RNA". It matches the Rfam family "Bacterial small subunit ribosomal RNA", at positions 96 to 334 of the family's 1533-position model. The record is from RNAcentral. Lineage: Bacteria; Bacillati; Bacillota; Bacilli; Caryophanales; Staphylococcaceae.
CGGCGGACGGGUGAGUAACACGUGGAUAACCUACCUAUAAGACUGGGAUAACUUAGGGAAACCGGAGCUAAUACCGGAUAAUAUUUUGAACCGCAUGGUUCAAAAGUGAAAGACGGUCUUGCUGUCACUUAUAGAUGGAUCCGCGCUGCAUUAGCUAGUUGGUAAGGUAACGGCUUACCAAGGCAACGAUGCAUAGCCGACCUGAGAGGGUGAUCGGCCACACUGGAACCGAGACACGGUCCAG